UACGUAGGGACCAAGCGUUGUUCGGAUUUACUGGGCGUAAAGGGCUCGUAGGCGGCGCGGUAAGUCACUUGUGAAAUCUCUGAGCUUAACUCAGAACGGCCAAGUGAUACUGCAGUGCUAGAGUGUGGAAGGGGCAAUCGGAAUUCUUGGUGUAGCGGUGAAAUGCGUAGAUAUCAAGAGGAACACCUGAGGUGAAGACGGGUUGCUGGGCCAACACUGACGCUGAGGCGCGAAAGCCAGGGGAGCAAACGGG
This 253-nucleotide ribosomal RNA is filed under the name uncultured bacterium. RNAcentral's name for it is "partial 16S ribosomal RNA". It matches the Rfam family "Bacterial small subunit ribosomal RNA", at positions 524 to 776 of the family's 1533-position model. The record is from RNAcentral.